Molecule: small nuclear RNA, 166 nt
Filed under: Rattus norvegicus (Norway rat)
Lineage: Eukaryota; Metazoa; Chordata; Mammalia; Rodentia; Muridae
Description: U2 spliceosomal RNA
Rfam family: U2 spliceosomal RNA
About the family: U2 is a small nuclear RNA (snRNA) component of the spliceosome (involved in pre-mRNA splicing). Complementary binding between U2 snRNA (in an area lying towards the 5' end but 3' to hairpin I) and the branchpoint sequence (BPS) of the intron results the bulging out of an unpaired adenosine, on the BPS, which initiates a nucleophilic attack at the intronic 5' splice site, thus starting the first of two transesterification reactions that mediate splicing.
Source: Rfam by way of RNAcentral
AUCACUUCUUGUCCUUUUGGCUAAGGUGAAGUGUGUUACCUUUUCUUCUCAGUUUAAUGUCAGGUACAUGGUCUGUUUGAGGACAACAUACUAAGUGGACUUUUGGAGCUAGACAGAGUGGAAGCUUUCUCUGAUCACUCCAUGCAGCAACACUGGGGAACUCCUC